GUGCCCCCGGCAGGAUUCGAACCUGCGACACCCGCUUUAGGAGAGCGGUGCUCUAUCCCCUGAGCUACGAAGGC
RNAcentral lists this transfer RNA (74 nucleotides) under Streptomyces clavuligerus. RNAcentral's name for it is "tRNA-Arg". Lineage: Bacteria; Bacillati; Actinomycetota; Actinomycetes; Kitasatosporales; Streptomycetaceae. The record is from RNAcentral.